AUACGGAGGAUCCGAGCGUUAUCCGGAUUUAUUGGGUUUAAAGGGUGCGCAGGCGGGAGAUUAAGUCGGCGGUGAAAUUUUGCAGCUCAACUGUAAAAGUGCGUUCGAUACUGGUUUUCUUGAGUGUGGAUGAAGUAGGCGGAAUUUGUGGUGUAGCGGUGAAAUGCAUAGAUAUCACGAGGAACUCCGAUUGCGCAGGCAGCUUACUAGGCCAUAACUGACGCUCAGGCACGAAGGCGUGGGGAUCAAACAGGAUUAGAUACCCUGGUAGUCCACGCAGUAAACGAUGAUUACUCGCUGUUUGCGAUACACAGUAAGCGGCUUAGCGAAAGCGUUAAGUAAUCCACCUGGGGAGUACGUUCGCAAGAAUGAGACUCAAAUGAAUUGACGGG
Molecule: ribosomal RNA, 392 nt
Filed under: uncultured bacterium
Lineage: Bacteria
Description: partial 16S ribosomal RNA
Rfam family: Bacterial small subunit ribosomal RNA
Source: RNAcentral